Molecule: long non-coding RNA, 454 nt
Filed under: Elaeis guineensis (African oil palm)
Lineage: Eukaryota; Viridiplantae; Streptophyta; Magnoliopsida; Arecales; Arecaceae
Description: long non-coding RNA (EGUI_LNC004592)
Source: RNAcentral
UUGGUGUUCUGUUGGUGUUCUACCUGUCUUCUUCCUUCUCGGUUUCACGGAUGCCCUGUGCUGAUGACCGAACGCUUCUUCGAUUAGUAAGGAGGUAUUCAUCUUGAUUUUUUGUUGAGGAUUGAGAAAGGUAUCUUCACCUCAGGUAUUAUCUUAUCUUGAUCUAUUGCCGAGGCUGAGAUUGGUAGAUCCGAUUGGAUCUUGGUUGCCUUCUAUUCGAUACUCUGUUGCCUUCUUGUUGGUUUCGGUUAAAGGUAUUUUAUACCUCAUAUUGUAUCUAUUUUUCGGGACAGAUUUAUAGUGGAUUGCUCCUCCUCCCCGUGGAUGUAGGCCUCUUGUGCCGAACCACGUAAAUCUUGGUUUCUUUGUCUUUGUUUAUUUAUGCCUGCAAUGUGUUUGGUGAAUUGUCUCAAAGAGAUUAGACUUUAGAUCAAAAGCCUAGGUCGAUCCAAUC